This 1123-nucleotide ribosomal RNA is filed under the name Klebsiella pneumoniae. Its description in RNAcentral is "bacterial SSU rRNA". It matches the Rfam family "Bacterial small subunit ribosomal RNA", at positions 72 to 1193 of the family's 1533-position model. Lineage: Bacteria; Pseudomonadati; Pseudomonadota; Gammaproteobacteria; Enterobacterales; Enterobacteriaceae. The record is from RNAcentral.
AACCUGGCUCACAAAGUAACAAACGGCGGACGGGUGAGUAAUGUCUGGGAAACUGCCUGAUGGAGGGGGAUAACUACUGGAAACGGUAGCUAAUACCGCAUAACGUCGCAAGACCAAAGUGGGGGACCUUCGGGCCUCAUGCCAUCAGAUGUGCCCAGAUGGGAUUAGCUGGUAGGUGGGGUAACGGCUCACCUAGGCGACGAUCCCUAGCUGGUCUGAGAGGAUGACCAGCCACACUGGAACUGAGACACGGUCCAGACUCCUACGGGAGGCAGCAGUGGGGAAUAUUGCACAAUGGGCGCAAGCCUGAUGCAGCCAUGCCGCGUGUGUGAAGAAGGCCUUCGGGUUGUAAAGCACUUUCAGCGGGGAGGAAGGCGGUGAGGUUAAUAACCUUGUCGAUUGACGUUACCCGCAGAAGAAGCACCGGCUAACUCCGUGCCAGCAGCCGCGGUAAUACGGAGGGUGCAAGCGUUAAUCGGAAUUACUGGGCGUAAAGCGCACGCAGGCGGUCUGUCAAGUCGGAUGUGAAAUCCCCGGGCUCAACCUGGGAACUGCAUUCGAAACUGGCAGGCUAGAGUCUUGUAGAGGGGGGUAGAAUUCCAGGUGUAGCGGUGAAAUGCGUAGAGAUCUGGAGGAAUACCGGUGGCGAAGGCGGCCCCCUGGACAAAGACUGACGCUCAGGUGCGAAAGCGUGGGGAGCAAACAGGAUUAGAUACCCUGGUAGUCCACGCCGUAAACGAUGUCGAUUUGGAGGUUGUGCCCUUGAGGCGUGGCUUCCGGAGCUAACGCGUUAAAUCGACCGCCUGGGGAGUACGGCCGCAAGGUUAAAACUCAAAUGAAUUGACGGGGGCCCGCACAAGCGGUGGAGCAUGUGGUUUAAUUCGAUGCAACGCGAAGAACCUUACCUGGUCUUGACAUCCACAGAACUUUCCAGAGAUGGAUUGGUGCCUUCGGGAACUGUGAGACAGGUGCUGCAUGGCUGUCGUCAGCUCGUGUUGUGAAAUGUUGGGUUAAGUCCCGCAACGAGCGCAACCCUUAUCCUUUGUUGCCAGCGGUUAGGCCGGGAACUCAAAGGAGACUGCCAGUGAUAAACUGGAGGAAGGUGGGGAUGACGUCAAGUCAU